GAUGAACGCUCGCGGCGUGCCUAAUACAUGCCAGUCGAGCGAACGGACGAGAAGCUUGCUUCUCUGAUGUUAGCGGCGGACGGGUGAGUAACACGUGGAUAACCUACCUAUAAGACUGGGAUAACUUCGGGAAACCGGAGCUAAUACCGGAUAAUAUUUUGAACCGCAUGGUUCAAAAGUGAAAGACGGUCUUGCUGUCACUUAUAGAUGGAUCCGCGCUGCAUUAGCUAGUUGGUAAGGUAACGGCUUACCAAGGCAACGAUGCAUAGCCGACCUGAGAGGGUGAUCGGCCACACUGGAACUGAGACACGGUCCAGACUCCUACGGGAGGCAGCAGUAGGGAAUCUUCCGCAAUGGGCGAAAGCCUGACGGAGCAACGCCGCGUGAGUGAUGAAGGUCUUCGGAUCGUAAAACUCUGUUAUUAGGGAAGAACAUAUGUGUAAGUAACUGUGCACAUCUUGACGGUACCUAAUCAGAAAGCCACGGCUAACUACGUG
RNAcentral lists this ribosomal RNA (497 nucleotides) under uncultured bacterium. RNAcentral's name for it is "partial 16S ribosomal RNA". It matches the Rfam family "Bacterial small subunit ribosomal RNA", at positions 28 to 507 of the family's 1533-position model. The record is from RNAcentral.